GGACCUGAAGUGUUUGGUCUUCAGUCUUAUUGGAUUACACUUCAAGAUUAAGCCAAUCUAGAUGGAACAUUGGUGUGGACACAAGGUGGGGUGGGAGUGCUGCUUUUAAUUACCAUUAUCUAGACAUUUUUGUGUAUAUCAGGGCAGUAUUUUUUUUAUAAACUAUAAAUGAUUGUCUUUAAAAUACAUAACAACAACAACAAAAAAGAAUACUGGAGAGGGUUGCCAUUCCCUUCUCUAGUGGAUUUCCCUGACCCAAGGUUCAAACCUUUAUCUCUUGAGUCUCCUGCAUUGGCAGUUGGAUUCUUUACCACUGUGCCACGUGGGAAGCCUACUGGUUUCAAGCAGUUGGGAACGAAGGAUACCAGAUGUACUUCCCUGAUAGCUCAGUUGGUAAAGAAUCCACCCACAAUGCAGGAGACC
Molecule: long non-coding RNA, 423 nt
Filed under: Capra hircus (goat)
Lineage: Eukaryota; Metazoa; Chordata; Mammalia; Artiodactyla; Bovidae
Description: lncRNA (ENSCHIG00010007607.1)
Source: RNAcentral